RNAcentral lists this long non-coding RNA (744 nucleotides) under Castor canadensis (American beaver). RNAcentral's name for it is "lncRNA (ENSCCNG00000003283.1)". Lineage: Eukaryota; Metazoa; Chordata; Mammalia; Rodentia; Castoridae. The record is from RNAcentral.
UGGACAUUUUGGCUCCUAAUCCACCUUUUCUUCAAAUUGCUGUCUUCAUCAAGGUCAGAAGCUUUAGGUUCUUGUAGCAAGCAGCUCAAUCCCAGAGACAGAAGAUUCUGCCAUCCAGGCUGUAGGGCUCCCACAAGCUGAUUGCAUGUUCAUGUGGGCUGAUGGUGGGUCAUGUGAACAGACUCUGGCUUGGGCUGGCAGAAAGCUGUUUACUUGCAUGGAAGAGGAACAAGAAGGACAUGACACCUGACAAUUGAGACUGAAAUGGGACAACUGGCUGGAUGUUAAGGUCUGCUUUAAGGCUCGUCAGUUCUGCAUGAAAGGAAAAGCCGAGGAGGAGACUGUCUCAAAUCUCUGGAGGACCCCUGAAGUCUGCUGUGGGGCUUAACAUCACUUGAACACAGAGAGGAGGAAGAAAUUGCAGCGCAUCAGUGAAGAUCCACGUGCAGUGUCAGGUCCUGUGGUAUUGGAGUUGCUGCUAAAUAACCACUCUCAUCUGGUCUGCACCCACCCAGGAACCAUCCAUCCUUCCCCAGCCUGGUUGUGCUUCUUCUGCACUUUAUCUGUAUUAUUGACUGAGACUGUGCUUGGGGUGAAGCAUCAUUGAUUGCUGGAUUGGUGAUUUACUCUAAUGCUUUAUUUCCUACUUUAUCUCCUGGAUCAUCGAAAGAUCAAAGUGUGAAGAUACUAAUCUGUGCCAUAGCUUUUGUUGAGGAAGAAACUGUGGUAGGCGUACUUAAUUGA